Molecule: unclassified non-coding RNA, 330 nt
Organism: Neogale vison (American mink)
Lineage: Eukaryota; Metazoa; Chordata; Mammalia; Carnivora; Mustelidae
Gene: 7SK
Rfam family: 7SK RNA
About the family: 7SK was discovered as an abundant small nuclear RNA in the mid-70s but a possible function has only recently been suggested. Two independent studies have found that 7SK RNA binds the CDK9/cyclin T complex (known as elongation factor P-TEFb).
Source: Ensembl
GAAUGUGAGGGUGAUCUGGUUGUGACAUCUGUUACUCUAUUGAUCACUAGGCUUGAUUUGGUUGAUCUGGCUAGCUAGGCAGUGUCCUUUUCUUCCCUCACUGCUCUAAGUGCAUCCCUCACAAAGCUGUGUGCCCUGUCGAAGAGGACGACCUUCCCCAGUAGUGGAGGACCAUUCUUCUGUCAAGGGUAUACAAGUAGCUAUGCUCCCCUGCUAGAACUUCCAAAUAAUCUCUCAAGGUCCAUUUGUAGGAGAAUGUAGAGUAGUCAAGUUUCCAAGACUCCAGACACAUCCAAAUGAGGUGCUGCAUGUGGCAGUCUGCCUUUCAUU